UAUUGGUCCCCUCGCGGCGAUAAGUUAUGAACCCCGUCAGGCCCGGAAGGGAGCAGCGGUAGUAGCUGAUGCGAGCGCCGAGGUGUGGCUCUUAGAG
This is a non-coding RNA of Legionella sp. 40-6, 97 nucleotides long. The record is from Rfam. NCBI's taxonomy places the organism in Bacteria, Pseudomonadati, Pseudomonadota, Gammaproteobacteria, Legionellales, Legionellaceae.